UCCUCCUGCCAGGUGGCUUCUCAGUUUGUCGUCCCAGGAAUCUGGAACGAAGUUUAGGAGGGCUGCGUCCCCUCCAAUCCCAGGGACAGGCCUUAGCAAGCCCUGAGUCCCGUUAAUAAAUCCUCCCCGUAACAGUGGCCUCUCUGGAGCCUGCUGGUGCCUGGCCGGGCGCAGAGGCCGCGCCGAGCUCUCACAAACUAAUGCAGGUCCUUGUGAAAAUGUUAGGGCAUCUAUUCUGUCUUCACUGCCCAGGAUUCUGGGGACAGUCGGGCUGUGGGCUUCUCCCCUUGAAAGGCCUGCAGUUUAAAGACAUGUCCACCAGGUGGCGCAAAGCCUCCUUUUCGUGCGGCUGUUGGAGCCCACUGUCUGUGGACAGUGUCUGUUCUGCGUGGGGGCGAGUCGGCCUUCUCUUACUAGGAUGUGAAUACAAAUCUCCAACCCAGGACUACCCGUGUGAAAUGACUUUUUCCUGUGUGUGGAGUCUAUACAUUUACCUCUGAAGCCCUUGAAACCAGGAGAAGCAGUUUCCUGCGAUGAGUCCUUGCAUCUGACUUCAAGUGCUCUGGGUUUGGCCGCUGCUGAAAUGAAAUCCACUUUUUCUACAGGAAGUGCGAAACUCCUGUGCGUUACAGGAAGUAAGAGCUUCCACAUAUUCUCUUGAGAAUAAUGAACACUUCCCGGAGGAAACAAUAUAACUUAAUAAAGUCAGUUUUUUUCAAUAAAGAACCAACUGCUUAAGAACACAUUCAGAGGGAAGAAGCAUUUGAGAUGAUUCACUUCACGAAUAAUUAAAAGCAAAUCAAAAACAAGAGUGGCUCAUCAGAUCAAUAACAGGGAACAGGCUCGAGUAUCUACUUGGGUCCGGUACUUUCGCUAACUUGGAAAUGUCUGUCAGCAGACAGGUGACAAUAUGCCAAGAGCGAACAACGGUGUGGAAGACUUUCACAAUGCAACCUGAAGCUCACUGACAAAUAUGCAUCCUACUAUUUGGAAACGGAUAUCUCCC
Molecule: long non-coding RNA, 1006 nt
Organism: Zalophus californianus (California sea lion)
Lineage: Eukaryota; Metazoa; Chordata; Mammalia; Carnivora; Otariidae
Exons: 3
Source: RefSeq, a predicted model, not a curated record